UACCUACUGGGGGUUGUGAUGCGGCUAU
RNAcentral lists this small RNA (28 nucleotides) under Bombyx mori (domestic silkworm). RNAcentral's name for it is "ovarian small RNA-20830". Lineage: Eukaryota; Metazoa; Arthropoda; Insecta; Lepidoptera; Bombycidae. The record is from RNAcentral.